GGUAUUGUGGCUCAGCGGUAGAGCUCUCCUCUAGCAUGGGUGGGACCUGGGUUCGAUCCUCAGCACCA
Molecule: transfer RNA, 68 nt
Filed under: Ictidomys tridecemlineatus (thirteen-lined ground squirrel)
Lineage: Eukaryota; Metazoa; Chordata; Mammalia; Rodentia; Sciuridae
Description: Spermophilus tridecemlineatus (thirteen-lined ground squirrel) tRNA
Rfam family: tRNA
About the family: Transfer RNA (tRNA) molecules are approximately 80 nucleotides in length. Their secondary structure includes four short double-helical elements and three loops (D, anti-codon, and T loops).
Source: Rfam by way of RNAcentral